This is an RNA transcript of Cornus florida, 3516 nucleotides long. It is a transcript of the gene named L-2-hydroxyglutarate dehydrogenase, mitochondrial, with no coding region annotated. The transcript has 5 exons. Lineage: Eukaryota; Viridiplantae; Streptophyta; Magnoliopsida; Cornales; Cornaceae. The record is from RefSeq and is a predicted model, not a curated record.
CAGGUGCAUUUUUAAGAGAAGGGAGGGUCACUCACGCUCACAACUCAAUAGUUAAUGGAGGUUACAGUUGUAUUGUAGUAUUCCCAUUAGAAAGGAAGAGAGACGAUGAAAUCCACCACAACCAAGUUUCUCCGAACACUGAUGAUGACCAGAAAUUCCAUCACUACCCGAAUCAGAUACAAAAUUGAGACUCAGAAUUUUACCACCGUCUCCACCAGCAAUGCUCAGUUGCCGAAGGAGAGGGUCGAUUGUGUGGUGAUAGGGGCUGGUGUGGUGGGAAUAGCAGUGGCCAGAGAGCUCGCUCUCAAGGGCAGACAAGUAUUCGUCAUCGAUUCUGCUUCCACUUUCGGCACCGGAACCAGUUCUCGCAACAGCGAAGUCAUCCACGCCGGCAUCUAUUACCCGCGCAAUUCUCUCAAGACACUUAUGUGUGUUAGAGGUAGAGAAUUGCUGUACAGGUAUUGCAAAGAGCAUGACAUUCCACAUAAGAAGAUUGGUAAGCUCAUAGUUGCUACUGGAUCUUCAGACAUUCCAAAGUUGAGUGCUCUAAUGAGUCGUGGGAUUGAAAAUGGGGUUAAUGAUCUGAGGAUGAUGGAGGAUCAUGAAGUCAUGAGAAUGGAACCAGAAUUACAGUGUAGGAAAGCUUUAUACUCUCCUGCUUCUGGAAUAAUUGAUACCCAUUCCCUAAUGCUCUCUUUAGCGGGGGAAGCUGAAAGUCAUGGAACAACUUUCUCUUACAACACUACUGUCGUCGGUGGUCAUCUUGAAGGAAAUAAUAAUAUUUGCCUUCAUAUUGCUGAAAGGAAGGAUCUUGAAAACUGGGAUGGGAGGUUUCCAUUGCAUCCCGAGCUUAUACUUAUUCCUAAUCUAGUAGUGAACUCUGCAGGCUUGAGUGCACAAGCCCUUGCAAAGCGAUUCAAGGGCGUAGAUAGUGGAAUUAUUCCUGCAUCAUGUUAUGCUCGUGGUUGCUACUUCACCCUGUCUAACAUCAAGAUUCCACCUUUCAAACAUUUGAUUUAUCCUAUACCUGAGGAUGGUGGCCUUGGAGUGCAUGUUACACUGGACUUAAACGGCCAAGUAAAGUUCGGCCCUGAUGUUGAAUGGAUUGAUGGUGUAGAUGACGUUUCAAGCUUCCUGAACAAGAGCCUUCAGCCUUGGCUAAAAUCAUGUGACUUGACAUGCCAUCUCACUCCUUGUUGCAAGCGCCGAGCUUGUCCUUGCUGCACCUUGCAACCUUUUGGUGGUUAAAUGUGCCUUUAACAACUAUGGUAGUGUGGUGUUACUUAACUUGAUCCGGUGAUAAGUAGCAUAUGGAUCCAAAUCCGGCUUGGAAGCAACCACAUUUCUAUGAUGCUGUGCAACCUUGAGGAUCACAUGCAUGAGACAUUCAUUUUUGCUUAUGAAUUGCUAUAAUGGGCAUUUUUUUUUGUGGUGUGUUAUUGCAUUUACUAAAAGGGUCAUGUUAACUAGGUGUCAGAUUCAAAGUAAAAAAUGACUUGCAGCUACUUUAUUAGUCAUUACCUUUAGAGAAUCCAAGUGGUCAACCUCGUUUGUCCAGAUAAAGGCAAGGAUGAUGAUGACGACGACGACGAUGACAUUUAGAUGAAUUAUUGAGGUCUGAUUAUUUAAGAUAAUUUUUCUGGGUAUUGAUAUAAAACCAUGAAUUCAACCCCAUGGUUGAGUCAAGUUACGGUCUUUUUUAAGUUUUUCAAAUUUUGAGUUUUUGUAAAGGUGCACCACAUAUUAGGGUUCUAAUUAUAAGUCAAGUUCCUUAUGUGUACUUGUAAUAAUUUUCUCGAUUUUAAAUCUCUUAUUCUCUUUUAGCAGUUAGUUUACUAGUUUUAUUUUUUGUUUCCAUUCAACUUCUAUGUCCCAUAAAAAUGAAAUCCUUUCAUUUUGUUUUCCAUAGCAUUUCACUGUGAAAUUCAUCCUUCACAAAUGAGUCAGUAGACUUGUUACAAGACAAAAUUUGGGUCACUGUCGAAGCUCAGGUAUUCAUGAAACAUGGUAAGAAAAAAUGCAAUGUUUCAAUAUCUGAAACUCUAUAGUAAGACCCAUAUUCUACUGCGGUGAAAAGCAUUAUGGGCCUUUUUUUCGGUUUCUGUCGUAACAACAGAAUGUUUCAGACUUUUAUUGGAUAUCCACACUUAUUAGGGGCCCGUUUACUAACGCUUUCACUUUCUUACUUUUACUUUCUGCAAAAGUAAAAUUAUAAUUUUGAUUUCUUGAAGUGAAAUAGAAAGUGAAAUAAUGUUCAAUAAUUUUUUUUUUUACUUUCAAUGUUUUGAAAGCAAAAAAAUAGGAAGUAAGUUUAUUAAAUUUUAAUUUUAAUUUUGCUUUCCAGAUCUUGUGUGUAAGAGAUGGGUAACAUGCUUCUUGUGUGUCUGAUAUCAAUACACACAAAUGAUUACAAACACACACACACACACACACACACACACACACACAUAUAUAUAUAUAGAAAAAGUAUAGAGAGAGAUUGAAACCAGAGCCUCAAAUCGUUCUCAACUUCGAGUCCACCGGCGAUUGCGGAUUUUAUCGUCAAUUCCGGCAGCUCUGAUAGUUUUCUUACUUGGGUUGAUCUUGUGUUUUGUUAGAAAUCCUUCCAUUAUUCAGGACCUCCAAUUGGGUCCAUCCAAGUUCCAUAUUGUGAAAAUUACAUGGGAGGAUUGGAAAAUUGGGUUUCUUCGAGCUGCAAUACCUCAAAUUCCGCUAUCUAUACUGAAUUUUGUGAUUGCAGUAAGUUAUCGGCGGAUUUGUUUCUGGACGGGGAAGUGUUAGCUACGGCGGUGUCCGUGAGUGUUGGAGCUAUGAAUUUAGUUGGGUGCUGGUUCGGGGCUAUGCCGGUAUGCCAUGGUGCCGAAGGGUUAGCAUUAACUGUUUCUGGAAACCCGAGCCUCAAACUUGGGUCUCCUUCUCCGAUGCCAGAAUUCACGAACAAACUGACUGGGAAUAAAACUUUGGAGUAUGAAUUGCUUGUGGAUGCGAAUUUGGGUCUCCUGGCCUCUCCGAUGCCCAAUUGCCGGAUUCCUUGCUCACAUCGUCACAGUCUCGUCGUCGUUCGGUCCACCAAUAAGUUCAGUCCUGCCUCAUCUUGGAGAAACUGCUCGCCGCCACUGUUCAUCUACUUUCAGCCAAGUGGGCUUAGGUUAAACCAGUAGAGAGAGAAGCUAGAGAGAGAGUGAUGAUGGGGUUUCUACUUGCUCUUUCAAAACGAUGAAGCCUGAAGGGGUUUCAGUUUUCAAUGGCUAAUCGACGGUGCUUGGUAGCAGUUUGUGGUGGUAGAGAGAAGAAGAAGAGAGAAGACAGAUGGUGAUGGUGAUGGUGAUGAUACGGGUGAUAUGGGUGAGCAGUUCCGCUACAGUAGCGGAAGUAAUUCCUCCGCUACAGUGGAGAAAACAAGAAAGUUUGAUUAUUCUGUAAGUGCGGAUCGUGCAAAGCAAUUUUAUCCACAGAUAAAAAAGUACUACCCUAGUCUGAAGGAGGGAUCCCUGGAGCCCGGUUAUGCUGGCAUCC